UACGGAGGGAGCUAGCGUUGUUCGGAAUUACUGGGCGUAAAGCGCACGUAGGCGGCUUUGUAAGUUAGAGGUGAAAGCCCGGGGCUCAACUCCGGAACUGCCUUUAAGACUGCAUCGCUUGAAUCCAGGAGAGGUGAGUGGAAUUCCGAGUGUAGAGGUGAAAUUCGUAGAUAUUCGGAAGAACACCAGUGGCGAAGGCGGCUCACUGGCCCGGUACUGACGCUCAGGUGCGAAAGCGUGGGGAGCAAACAGG
RNAcentral lists this ribosomal RNA (253 nucleotides) under uncultured bacterium. RNAcentral describes it as "partial 16S ribosomal RNA". It matches the Rfam family "Bacterial small subunit ribosomal RNA", at positions 524 to 776 of the family's 1533-position model. The record is from RNAcentral.